RNAcentral lists this ribosomal RNA (449 nucleotides) under uncultured bacterium. Its description in RNAcentral is "partial 16S ribosomal RNA". It matches the Rfam family "Bacterial small subunit ribosomal RNA", at positions 337 to 783 of the family's 1533-position model. The record is from RNAcentral.
GCCGACGGGUGGCAGCAGUGAGGAAUAUUGGUCAAUGGGCGCGAGCCUGAACCAGCCAAGUAGCGUGAAGGAUGACUGCCCUACGGGUUGUAAACUUCUUUUAUAAAGGAAUAAAGUGAGGCACGUGUGCCUUUUUGUAUGUACUUUAUGAAUAAGGAUCGGCUAACUCCGUGACAGCAGCCGCGGUAAUAUGGAGGAUCCGAGCUUUAUGCGGAUUUAAUGGGUUUAAAGGGAGCGUAGGUGGAUGGUUAAGUUAGUUGUGAAAGUUUGCGGCUCAACCGUAGAAUUGCAGUUGAAACAGGCCGUCUUGAGUACAGUAGAGGUAGGCGGAAUUCGUGGUGUAGCAGUGAAAUGCUUAGAUAUCACGAAGAACUGCGAUUGCGAAGGCAGUUCACUGGACUUCAACUGACACUGAGGCUCGAAGGUGUGGGUAUCAAACAGGAUCAGAU